AUCUAACACCGAAGUUCUGUUUACGGAUAGGUCUAAUAAAGAACUUACAACGGCUUUUGUUCCUUAAUUGACAAGAGUAACUAGGGGUAAUUACUCUGCAUGGCGUUUCUGGGCCUGUCAAUUACAUCGGGCAUGCGACGUGUCUCUAACUGAAAUAUGACUAUAAAAACGAAAUGUACGCAUUAUGGUCUUUAGUGUAAAAGAAAAGCAACACAACGGGGUUUGGAAAACAAAGGUUAAGAUUACAAGAUGCAAGUUACAAUGGUACCAAUCCUGCUUUUAUUGUGUAUGGCUGUGCCUAACAUCAAGGCUUUAGAUACAUUUGAAAACUAUGUUCGCAGGAACGUACCGAACGGUUUCACGAUGUCUGCGUUUGUGGAAACAUGUGAAGGAUGUGGCGUGUUGUACGGGAAAGAUUUCACAUACAAAUGUUUGGCGGAUAAAACAUUGAGCACUUUCAAGGGAUGUUUUAUAGCUGUGCACGAUCGAAGAUAACAAACAAUUAAUUUUGAUAAAUAUCGUAAAGAUCUCUUAUAUAAACUCAUUUUCUUGUUUAAAUACUUUACGUAUAGUUUAAUUUCUAAAGAAAAGAUUGUUUUAGCAGUUUUAUAUCAAAUCAAUGCAUUUUAAAAUUAUUUUCAAAUGAUAAUAUUAUAAUAUGGUGCAAUGUUAAAA
Molecule: long non-coding RNA, 675 nt
Organism: Ruditapes philippinarum (Manila clam)
Lineage: Eukaryota; Metazoa; Mollusca; Bivalvia; Venerida; Veneridae
Exons: 3
Source: RefSeq, a predicted model, not a curated record